Molecule: ribosomal RNA, 875 nt
Filed under: uncultured archaeon
Lineage: Archaea
Description: bacterial SSU rRNA
Rfam family: Archaeal small subunit ribosomal RNA
Source: RNAcentral
CCUGACUGCUAUCGGAUUGAUACUAAGCCAUGUGAGUCAUUGUAGCAAUACAAGGCAGACGGCUCAGUAACACGUAGCCAAUCUACCCUAUGGACGGGGAUAACCUCGGGAAACUGAGGAUAAACCCCGAUAGAUCAUUAUGCCUGGAAAGGUUUAUGGUUGAAAUGAUUCGUCGCCGUAGGAUGGGACUGCGGCCUAUCAGCUUGUUGGUGAGGUAAUGGCCCACCAAGGCUAUUACAGGUACGGGCUCUGAGAGGAGAAGCCCGGAGAUGGGUACUGAGACACGGACCCAGGCCCUAUGGGGCGCAGCAGGCGAGAAAACUUUGCAAUGUGCGCAAGCACGACAAGGUUAAUCCGAGUGUUUCCUGCUAAAGGAAUCUUUUGUUAGUCCUAAAAACACUAGCGAAUAAGGGGUGGGCAAGUUCUGGUGUCAGCCGCCGCGGUAAAACCAGCACCUCAAGUGGUCAGGAUGAUUAUUGGGCCUAAAGCAUCCGUAGCCUGUUCUAUAAGUUUCCGGUUAAAUCCAUUAGCUCAACUAAUGGGCUGCCGAAAAUACUGUAGAACUAGGGAGUGGGAGAGGUAGACGGUACUCGGUAGGAAGGGGUAAAAUCCUUUGAUCUAUUGAUGACCACCUGUGGCGAAGGCGGUCUACCAGAACACGUUCGACAGUGAGGGAUGAAAGCUGGGGGAGCAAACCGGAUUAGAUACCCGGGUAGUCCCAGCUGUAAACGAUGCAGACUCGGUGAUGCCCUGGCUUGUGGCCAGUGCAGUGCCGCAGGGAAGCCGUUAAGUUUGCCGCCUGGGAAGUACGUACGCAAGUAUGAAACUUAAAGGAAUUGGCGGGGGAGCACCACAAGGGGUGAAGCCUGCGGUUC